AUGAACGCUGGCGGCGUGGAUAAGGCAUGCAAGUCAAACGGGUCCGCCUCGCAAGAGGCGAGAUCAGUGGCGGACGAGUUAGUAAUACCUUGGAACGUACUCCGAAGACGGGGAUAACUAGUCGAAAGAUUAGCUAAUACCCGAUGGUCUCGCAAGAGUAAAGAUGCAAAUCACUUCGGAAGCGGCCUAGGUCCUAUCAGCUUGUUGGUGAGGUAACGGCUCACCAAGGCAAUGACGGGUAGGGGGUGUGAGAGCACGUCCCCCAACGAUGAAACUGCGAUACGGUUCAUACACCUACGGGUGGCUGCAGUCGAGAAUAUUCGACAAUGGGCGAAAGCCUGAUCGAGCGACGCCGCGUGCGGGAAGAAGUGCUUCGGCAUGUAAACCGCUUUUGCGUGGGAAAAAUUUUGAUUGUACCACGAGAAUAAGGGGUUGCUAACCUCGU
This 445-nucleotide ribosomal RNA is filed under the name uncultured bacterium. Its description in RNAcentral is "bacterial SSU rRNA". It matches the Rfam family "Bacterial small subunit ribosomal RNA", at positions 29 to 506 of the family's 1533-position model. The record is from RNAcentral.